Molecule: long non-coding RNA, 710 nt
Organism: Cygnus olor (mute swan)
Lineage: Eukaryota; Metazoa; Chordata; Aves; Anseriformes; Anatidae
Exons: 3
Source: RefSeq, a predicted model, not a curated record
UUUUCCCUUCUAAAUUUUGCUUGCCCAAGAGUAGGGUGGACUCUUCUUGUUCUGUGUGGUGUUAUAUAAGAAAUAUAGUAUGCAACUAUCAACAAGUUAUGAAGGUAAAUUCUAUCGCAGCAGGAUGCUAAGUUAUUAGUCUGUGGGAGAGACUCUUGCCUUAUAUUGGGGAAGCAUGGCUCCUUCAAGAAUCUUUGGGAAGUAACCUUGCUGAAAGCUUUCUUGACUUUCUUGAAAUCCAACUUCUCCAUCUCAUCCCUUGUGAAGAAGGUAACCUUCUUGACCUUCUCCAUAGUGAACGCUAAUGAAAGGAUUCACUUAUCUCUUCUGUAGUGGUCUCACCUUUUUUAGUGUUCCCUUUUUAUCCCGAUAAUUUACCGGCCCCACUGACUCUUCAGUCAUCCCACUUCUGUGUUUGAAAACAUCUUUAUUUUUAGCUUUUAUAUCUUCUGCAAGUUUCAUUUUAGUAUUACCUGGCUUGCUUUGCUUUGGUUUUACAUUUAAAUUGCCAUCUCUUUUUCUCAUUUGAACAUGAACUAUUUUCUCUUUUUGUUCCUUUAAUAUGCUGUUUUUUAUUCAUUUGGAUAUUUUUUAUUAUUGAAAAAAUGUUUAUUUAAAGACUUUAGCAUACCGUAAUCACCAGUGCUCACAGUCACUUAGUCAUCUGAAAGAUGUAUACCUGCACUCUGCAAUCUACAAAAUGAAAAUAA